AUAUCAAAAAGGCACUGGCAUCGGGUUUGGUUCAGUCAUUUGCCUGUUUGAAAGACUCCCCAAGCAGUGGCAGCGAAAUAUGGUACACCCCAGGACGGAGCCAACGGCCAGCCACUGGAUUCCUGGAGGAAAGGCUGCAGAAUGUCAGGAAGCGGCUGAGAUCAACCAGCAAGUCGCGGAGCAUGGCACAGACGACACCAGCACAAAUGCCAAAUGAUGGCGCUCUUGCCAGGGCUCUCAUACCAGAAUGUACCAUAUCAGAUGAAUGUGCGUCACAGUUUAAAGAAUGGUUGAGAAACAAUUCUCAGCCCCUCAGCCAGAUAGAGACCUACAUGCAGAACACAGCAGUCUACAGGGCCAAGAGGAUUAGGGACAACAAUUGGACCAUCGAUCAGAUCCUCGAAGAGUUCCCUCGCUUAAUGACCAAAGGCAUGGUAGGUAUAGGGAAAUAUGAGGUAAAAUUGUUUAUAACGUUUAAUGCACUGAAUCUUUUCCAAAUUGUAAAGCUAACUAGACUUUAUCAUAAAACAAUUAUUUCUCUAGUGAGGACCAGGAAAAUGGUCCUCACAAUGUCUGUAUUUUAAUUCUACUAUAGUAGUCGGUAGACAUUUGGUCCUUACUCACUCGCUCUCUCGCUCUCUUGUAUUUUCUUUUUUAGCCUGGAAUAAACAUGGUGGAGUACCUCCA
Molecule: long non-coding RNA, 687 nt
Organism: Cyprinus carpio (common carp)
Lineage: Eukaryota; Metazoa; Chordata; Actinopteri; Cypriniformes; Cyprinidae
Source: Ensembl